GACGAACUUUGGCGGCGUGCUUAACACAUGCAAGUCGAACGGAAAGGCCCUGCUUUUGUGGGGUGCUCGAGUGGCGAACGGGUGAGUAACACGUGAGUAACCUGCCCUUGACUUUGGGAUAACUUCAGGAAACUGGGGCUAAUACCGGAUAGGAGCUCCUGCUGCAUGGUGGGGGUUGGAAAGUUUCGGCGGUUGGGGAUGGACUCGCGGCUUAUCAGCUUGUUGGUGGGGUAGUGGCUUACCAAGGCUUUGACGGGUAGCCGGCCUGAGAGGGUGACCGGCCACAUUGGGACUGAGAUACGGCCCAGACUCCUACGGGAGGCAGCAGUGGGGAAUAUUGCACAAUGGGCGGAAGCCUGAUGCAGCAACGCCGCGUGCGGGAUGACGGCCUUCGGGUUGUAAACCGCUUUCGCCUGUGACGAAGCGUGAGUGACGGUAAUGGGUAAAGAAGCACCGGCUAACUACGUGCCAGCAGCCGCGGUGAUACGUAGGGUGCGAGCGUUGUCCGGAUUUAUUGGGCGUAAAGGGCUCGUAGGUGGUUGAUCGCGUCGGAAGUGUAAUCUUGGGGCUUAACCCUGAGCGUGCUUUCGAUACGGGUUGACUUGAGGAAGGUAGGGGAGAAUGGAAUUCCUGGUGGAGCGGUGGAAUGCGCAGAUAUCAGGAGGAACACCAGUGGCGAAGGCGGUUCUCUGGGCCUUUCCUGACGCUGAGGAGCGAAAGCGUGGGGAGCGAACAGGCUUAGAUACCCUGGUAGUCCACGCUGUAAACGGUGGGUACUAGGUGUGGGGUCCAUUCCACGGGUUCCGUGCCGUAGCUAACGCUUUAAGUACCCCGCCUGGGGAGUACGGCCGCAAGGCUAAAACUCAAAGGAAUUGACGGGGCCCCGCACAAGCGGCGGAGCAUGCGGAUUAAUUCGAUGCAACGCGUAGAACCUUACCUGGGUUUGACAUGGAUCGGGAGUGCUCAGAGAUGGGUGUGCCUCUUUUGGGGUCGGUUCACAGGUGGUGCAUGGCUGUCGUCAGCUCGUGUCGUGAGAUGUUGGGUUAAGUCCCGCAACGAGCGCAACCCUUGUUCACUGUUGCCAGCACGUUAUGGUGGGGACUCAGUGGAGACCGCCGGGGUCAACUCGGAGGAAGGUGGGGAUGACGUCAAGUCAUCAUGCCCCUUAUGUCCAGGGCUUCACGCAUGCUACAAUGGCUGGUACAGAGAGUGGCGAGCCUGUGAGGGUGAGCGAAUCUCGGAAAGCCGGUCUCAGUUCGGAUUGGGGUCUGCAACUCGACCUCAUGAAGUCGGAGUCGCUAGUAAUCGCAGAUCAGCAACGCUGCGGUGAAUACGUUCCCGGGGC
RNAcentral lists this ribosomal RNA (1345 nucleotides) under uncultured bacterium. Its description in RNAcentral is "partial 16S ribosomal RNA". It matches the Rfam family "Bacterial small subunit ribosomal RNA", at positions 28 to 1380 of the family's 1533-position model. The record is from RNAcentral.